This 373-nucleotide unclassified non-coding RNA is filed under the name uncultured Sphingobacteriales bacterium. RNAcentral describes it as "contains 16S-23S intergenic spacer region". The record is from RNAcentral. Lineage: Bacteria; Pseudomonadati; Bacteroidota; Sphingobacteriia; Sphingobacteriales.
UCACCGCUUGCGCGGGCAGUCUCAUUAGAGUCCCCAGCAUAACCUGAUGGCAACUAAUGAUAGGGGUUGCGCUCGUUACGGGACUUAACCCAACACCUCACGGCACGAGCUGACGACAGCCAUGCAGCACCUAGUUUCGUGCCCUUGCGGGAAUCCCGGUUUCUCGGGACGUCACUAACUUUCAAGCCCAGGUAAGGUUCCUCGCGUAUCAUCGAAUUAAACCACAUGCUCCUCCGCUUGUGCGGGCCCCCGUCAAUUCCUUUGAGUUUCAAUCUUGCGACCGUACUCCCCAGGUGGAUAACUUAAUGCUUUCGCUUAGACGCUAACAGUAUAUCGCUAACAUCGAGUUAUCAUCGUUUAGGGCGUGGACUAC